AUGGAAGGCACCGGGCUUAUCGGAUAAAAGUUACCCCGGGGAUAACAGAGUAGUCGCGCCUAAGAGUUCAUAUCGCCGGCGCGGUUCGCUACCUCGAUGUCGGCUCAGCGUAUCCUGGGGCUGAAGAAGGUCCCAAGGGUCCGUCUGUUCGUCGGUUAAAACGCUACGUGAGCUGGGUUCAGACCGUCGCGAGACAGGUCGGCCUCUAUCCGCAGUCAGCGUGGGAUUCUUGAGGGAGUUGGCCUCUAGUACGAGAGGACCGAGGCGAGCCAAUCCCUGGUGUGCCGGUUGUGACGUCAGUUGCAUUGCCGGGUAGCCACAUUGGUUACGGAUAACCGCUGAAAGCAUAUAAGCGGGAAGCCGGUCCCAAGAUGAGGAAUCCAUAUCCGUGCGCGAGCACGGGUUGUAGACCCCUGGAAGACUACCAGGUUGAUAAGCGAAAGCUUGUCGUUCGCCGCAAGGCGAAGAUAGGCUGGAAGUGUAAGUGCCGUAAGGCAUUUAGCUGACCAGUACUAAUCGGUCAAGAAAGAUCUAAAG
This is a non-coding RNA of Candidatus Chisholmbacteria bacterium, 537 nucleotides long. NCBI's taxonomy places the organism in Bacteria, Candidatus Chisholmiibacteriota. The record is from Rfam.